UCAGCAGCCGCGGUAAUACGUAGGGGGCGAGCGUUGUCCGGAUUUACUGGGCGUAAAGAGCGCGUAGGCGGCCUGUUAAGUUGGCUGUGAAAGGUCCCGGCCCAACUGGGAUAAGUCAGCCGAGACUGGCGGGCUUGAGGGCGGUAGAGGAAGGUGGAAUUCCGGGUGUAGUGGUGAAAUGCGUAGAUAUCCGGAGGAACACCGGUGGCGAAGGCGGCCUUCUGGGCCGUACCUGACGCUGAGGCGCGAAAGCGUGGGGAGCGAACUGAAUUAGAUACUCAGGUAGUCCACGCCCUAAACUAUGGACGCUAGGUGUAGGGGGUAUCGACCCCUCCUGUGCCGAAGCUAACGCAUUAAGCGUCCCGCCUGGGGAGUACGGCCGCAAGGCUAAAACUCAAAGGAAUUGACGGGGGCCCGCACAAGG
Molecule: ribosomal RNA, 424 nt
Filed under: uncultured bacterium
Lineage: Bacteria
Description: bacterial SSU rRNA
Rfam family: Bacterial small subunit ribosomal RNA
Source: RNAcentral